AUGUACCACUCGUACACUCCGGUUCCUGCGCGCGGUCGAUGCCCCCUGACGACCGCUCGCUACAUGUUGUUAGCC
Molecule: small RNA, 75 nt
Filed under: Xanthomonas prunicola
Lineage: Bacteria; Pseudomonadati; Pseudomonadota; Gammaproteobacteria; Lysobacterales; Lysobacteraceae
Description: sX9 sRNA
Rfam family: Xanthomonas sRNA sX9
Source: RNAcentral